This 301-nucleotide ribosomal RNA is filed under the name uncultured bacterium. RNAcentral describes it as "partial 16S ribosomal RNA". It matches the Rfam family "Bacterial small subunit ribosomal RNA", at positions 509 to 808 of the family's 1533-position model. The record is from RNAcentral.
CAGUAGCCACGGGAAUACGAAGGGUGCAAGCGUUACUCGGAAUUACUGGGCGUAAAGCGUGUGUAGGUGGUUGUUUAAGUCUGUCGUGAAAGCCCUGGGCUCAACCUGGGAAUUGCGAUGGAUACUGGGCGACUAGAGUGCGGUAGAGGAUAGUGGAAUUUCCGGUGUAGCGGUGAAAUGCGUAGAGAUCGGAAGGAACAUCUGUGGCGAAGGCGACUAUCUGGCCAACACUGACACUGAGACACGAAAGCGUGGGGAGCAAACAGGAUUAGAUACCCCGGUAGUCCCUGUCUCUUAUACC